GAAACAACAUAGACGUCCCUCAAUUCAGACAAGACAAACGGAUGCCAUCUUGUUAACCUGCUAACCAUUCUGGCUCUUGAUCAUUCUCUCCACCCUCCGGCCCUCCUGACUCAUCUCCACUGUGUCUCCCUGUGGUAUCCAUGGGGCCCAGCGAGCAGCGGGACAGAGGGACUCAGCGAGGGGCCCCGUGUUGAACCAGGAAGCAGUCUGUGGGGAUCCAUGCUAUUAGUCAGUGGCAGAUAAUUUGAUUGACCAGUGUUUAAAUGUAGACCUGUAUGUGUGAAAUAGUCUCCCAGGGAAAAUAACAUUUGUGAUCAAAGACAAAGCUACUGUGAUGAAUAAUGCAUGAUUUCAUAAAUGAAUGAUUUCUGUGUUGUCACAGAAGGGCCCCCAGUUCUGUGGAAGACGGAAGAGAUCUUACAAUUACCAUUUUCAAGCAUUUCAUUUUAGCCUGAGAACAUAAGGUGCAUGACAGUUUGAAACUGCGUGAGGCACACCGCAACAUCCUCCGAUUCUCUGCGAAUAAAAUGACAUGCACAUCCUUUUUUGCCUGAGGCUUUGAGUUUAGGCAGAUCCCAGUGGGGGCGUCACUAAAUGAACCCAAAAUCUCUCCCACAGUCCCGCUACACCAUUCAUAGCCCCAGUCCACACUGUUCAUCUUCACAGCAAUGAAAUCUCUUGUCUGACUUCGAACACUCCUAACAACAGGCAGCUGUGCAGAGCUUUUAGCCGUAUAUUAUAUGAAAUCUCACUGAUCCACGAUGGCGCCUAUAGAGGUUUGAUGUAUGUAGUGACAGUACCCUAAACCAUUUUGAUUCUCCAGAGUAAUUCACUUCUGCUUCAACGUGCCCUUUCAGCUGCUCAAGUAUGAAUUUCUACCACAAAUGACAUCUCUAAAACAAUAUACAGGAGUCAUAUUUUUCCAAUUCUGGACUCCUACAAAUUGAGCAUGAGAGUAAUUAAAGCACCUG
Larimichthys crocea (large yellow croaker) is the source of this 971-nucleotide long non-coding RNA. RefSeq lists it as uncharacterized. NCBI's taxonomy places the organism in Eukaryota, Metazoa, Chordata, Actinopteri, Sciaenidae. The record is from RefSeq and is a predicted model, not a curated record. The transcript has 4 exons.